Non-coding RNA from Proteobacteria bacterium ST_bin13, 387 nucleotides. The record is from Rfam. NCBI's taxonomy places the organism in Bacteria, Pseudomonadati, Pseudomonadota.
CCAGAGGGUCGGGCGGCCGCGGGUGCUUUAGAGCGCGCGAGGAAAGUCCGGGCUCCACGGAAACGACGGUGCCGGAUAAUGUCCGGCGAGGGUGACCUUAGGGAAAGUGCCACAGAGAGCAAACCGCCGAUGGUCCUUUCGGGGACACAGGCAAGGGUGAAAGGGUGCGGUAAGAGCGCACCGCGCGACUGGUAACAGAAGCGGCAUGGCAAACCCCACCGGGAGCAAGACCGAAUAGGGGUGGCGCGAGAGCAAUCUCAGGGCAAGUUCCGGCCCGCUACCCGGGUUGGUUGCUUGAGCCCCGAAGUAAUUCGGGGCCUAGAGGAAUGGUCGCCUAUCCCCCUGUCAGGGGGUGGACAGAACCCGGCUUACAGACCCUCUGGCAUU